Triticum dicoccoides is the source of this 921-nucleotide long non-coding RNA. RefSeq lists it as uncharacterized. NCBI's taxonomy places the organism in Eukaryota, Viridiplantae, Streptophyta, Magnoliopsida, Poales, Poaceae. The record is from RefSeq and is a predicted model, not a curated record. The transcript has 2 exons.
UAUUCUCUUCGAGCACCGGGCAGUGGCGAGCGGCGGCACCCAUGCUUUGGUCGGCCAUGCCAGUGUCGCCGAUGGAUCCUGCUUAUCUCAGGCGGCACCACGCAUAUGGCUGCUUCUACUGGGACUCCACCAAUAUCAAGAGGAAAGAGUUGCUCGUGCUUAACAUCCAGAGGAUGGAGUUCUCCAUCGCCGAGCUCCCAUCCUCUGGCUGGGGCGCGCUAGGCGUGGCCAUUGUGGAGGCAGGGCAAGGCAUGCUUGGGCUGUUUGGGAUCCGUGAUGGAGCCGCAGGUGGCAGCAAACAUGACCUCUGCUAUAGCGUUAGGCACAACAAAGGCAAGAAUUCCGGUCAGUGGCAGAUGGUGAAGACCUUCUCACUAGGUCCUGAGGGCCUGCAUUAUCUCAAAGCGGCAACAGAGAGGUGUGUGCUCCUGAUAUGUUCUGAAGCCCCACGGCUCGUUGGCUUGUCUAUGGUGAUGCCAGACUUGUUGGAGUAUAUCUCGGUGGACGUCAAGAAGUUGCAGCUUGAGAGGGUCUGUGUCAAGCCUUUCGGGAAGUCCUUGUCCAGGACGCGCAUAUAUGCCCACUUCCCGCCAUCGCUGUCUUCGCCGACGAUAUGAAGUGAUUCAAGGGAGCCGUAAUCAGAUCAGCAUUCUCAAUUCAAGAUGACUGGGAUUUCAGUAGCACGAUGGUUCGGUGGACGUCAUCAGCUUUGCCUACAGGAUGACGCUAUCCACAUUGCUUUGCCUGGUCAUGUCUAUGCUUUGGUUAAUUACAAUAGCAUCAAUAUGGAGAUUUUCUUGGUCUGAGUGUGGCAGUGCUCAUGUCUAUCUUGUGUUCUUCCUUUGAUACCUAAGAAUUUUGCAUUUUAAAUUAACGGUCCUGAUCAAUCAAGAACUGUAGUAAAUCCACUUUUAUUAUUUA